UACGAAGGGGGCGAGCGUUGUUCGGAUUUACUGGGCGUAAAGGGCGCGUAGGCGGCGCGAGAAGUCGAGUGUGAAAGCCCCGGGCUCAACCUGGGAAUUGCGCUCGAUACUCUUGUGCUUGAGUUCGGGAGAGGAGCGUGGAAUUCCCAGUGUAGAGGUGAAAUUCGUAGAUAUUGGGAAGAACACCGGUGGCGAAGGCGGCGCUCUGGACCGAGACUGACGCUGAGGCGCGAAAGCGUGGGGAGCAAACGGG
This 253-nucleotide ribosomal RNA is filed under the name uncultured bacterium. Its description in RNAcentral is "partial 16S ribosomal RNA". It matches the Rfam family "Bacterial small subunit ribosomal RNA", at positions 524 to 776 of the family's 1533-position model. The record is from RNAcentral.